This 243-nucleotide ribosomal RNA is filed under the name uncultured bacterium. RNAcentral describes it as "partial 16S ribosomal RNA". It matches the Rfam family "Bacterial small subunit ribosomal RNA", at positions 92 to 334 of the family's 1533-position model. The record is from RNAcentral.
CGACCGGCGCACGGGUGAGUAACGCGUAUCCCAACCUCCCCACCACUUGGGGAUAACCUUGCGAAAGUAAGACUAAUACCCAAUGAUAUCUCUAGAAGACAUCUGAAAGAGAUUAAAGAUUUAUCGGUGAUGGAUGGGGAUGCGUCUGAUUAGCUUGUUGGCGGGGUAACGGCCCACCAAGGCGACGAUCAGUAGGGGUUCUGAGAGGAAGGUCCCCCACAUUGGAACUGAGACACGGUCCAA